Molecule: unclassified non-coding RNA, 343 nt
Filed under: soil metagenome
Description: partial contains 5.8S ribosomal RNA, internal transcribed spacer 2, and large subunit ribosomal RNA
Rfam family: 5.8S ribosomal RNA (bases 1-120)
Source: RNAcentral
GAUGAAGAACGUAGCGAAAUGCGAUAAGUAAUGUGAAUUGCAGAAUUCAGUGAAUCAUCGAAUCUUUGAACGCACAUUGCGCCCGCCAGCUUUCUGGCGGGCAUGCCUGUUCGAGCGUCAUUUCAACCCUCGAGCCCCCCCGGGGGCCUCGGUGUUGGGGGACGGCACACCAGCCGCCCCCGAAAUGCAGUGGCGACCCCGCCGCAGCCUCCCCUGCGUAGUAGCACACACCUCGCACCGGAGCGCGGAGGCGGUCACGCCGUAAAACGCCCAACUUUCUUAGAGUUGACCUCGGAUCAGGUAGGAAUACCCGCUGAACUUAAGCAUAUCAAUAAGCGGAGGA